Molecule: ribosomal RNA, 327 nt
Filed under: uncultured eukaryote
Lineage: Eukaryota
Description: partial 18S ribosomal RNA
Rfam family: Eukaryotic small subunit ribosomal RNA
Source: RNAcentral
CCCUUAGAUGUUCUGGGCCGCACGCGCGCUACACUGACGAAUGCAACGAGCUUAUAACCUUGUCCGAAAGGUCUGGGUAAUCUCCAAAUUUCGUCGUGAUGGGGAUAGAUUAUUGCAAUUAUUAAUCUUCAACGAGGAAUGCCUAGUAAGCGCAAGUCAUCAGCUUGCGUUGAUUACGUCCCUGCCCUUUGUACACACCGCCCGUCGCUCCUACCGAUUGAAUGGUCCGGUGAAGCGUUCGGACCGUGGCCUUUGGACGGUUCGCCGUCUGUUGGCUGCGGGAAGUUCGUUAAACCUUAUCAUUUAGAGGAAGGUGAAGUCGUAACA